RNAcentral lists this long non-coding RNA (3191 nucleotides) under Sus scrofa (pig). RNAcentral describes it as "lncRNA (ENSSSCG00050025619.1)". The record is from RNAcentral. Lineage: Eukaryota; Metazoa; Chordata; Mammalia; Artiodactyla; Suidae.
GUCACACUCAUGGCAUAUGGAAAUUCCCGGGCCAUACCGGGCCACAGGAAACUUGAAUUGAAUCCAAGCCACAUCUGUGACCUAUGCCACAGCUGUGACAGGGCUAAAUCCUUUAAUCCACUCCACCAGGUCAAGGAUUGGACCCACGCUUCCUCAGUGACCCAAGCCACUGCAGUCAAAUUCUUAACCUACUGCAUCCACAGAAGGAACUCCAGGACAUGAGAUUGUCAUGUAAACUUUUUGUGUGUGAAUUCUUCACAUCUUGUGAGAAGGAAUCAAAUGUCAAAAUUUCAUAAGAAAAAUCUUUAAAAAGCCUACAACAUUCCAGAUAAGUAUAUUUGAUCUAGACGUAAUAAAGAAUAUAAAAAAGAAGAAAUACAAGAAAAAAGUUUCAGAAAACAACGAGUUUUUCUUACCACCAUGUCAGACAUUUUGGAUCCCAAGUCAAGAUUACAAAAAGGAAGCCAAGAAGCACAUGCCUAAAUACUUAAAAGUUAACAAACUCUCUUGAUCAUAUAGUUUCAUAAAAAUAUAAUUGAAAAGUUAGUGUUAAGUCCAUGAUUUCUAAAAAUUAAAAAUCACAGCAAUGUUAAAGACAAUUUAAGAACUUUCUUCAUGUAAUGACUGUUUAAUAAAUGGUUUUCCCCAUAAACUCUUUUGAAAUGUCUCAUUAAUUUUAUUUUAUUUUAUUUUUAUUUUAAAAUCUGGUUGGCUGAUUUUACUGCUUAUUAUAAAGCUCUGGCAAAACAAUUUUUUUUUCUCUUCAUUAGUAAGACAUCCAAAUUAAGACUAUACCCUCUGGCUGCAAGGUUUACAUCAGUGAUUAAAACCACAGAAGUUGAUGCAUGGGGCUUUGGCAAUAAUAUAAUCAAAUUCAUUCAUACUAUUCAAUCUUUCACUGAUAUAGAUUUUUGCAGUGAAUAUACCAAACAGAGAAUCACAUAAAACAACUAUCAGUACAGAGAAACUAGGGAAUCUUGCUAUUAUUUAAAUAGUGAAGUGAUACUCAUUAAAUUUUUGAAAACUAAUUAUUUUUCUGGUAUAAUGUUGUUUCCAGCCUCAGUCUCACUAAAUAAAUAGGAUAUAAGUAAUAUUGCAAUAUUAUAGAGUAAUGUGACAUGAUGUGGUUCACAUGAGAAAAAAGAAAUUCAUUAUUAUUUUGGAUAGAUAGUUUGGUAUAAAAGUAUACCUAAACAAGGUAAAAUAAGCAAUAACCUUUAGGGGAAAAUAAAGGUUAAACACUGAAGUACUUCAAAACAUGGUGGAGGGGUGUGUAGCUCAGAGAACAAGCUGUUUCACAGAGGAGGAUCCCUUUUAAUCCCUGUUUCAUGUACAUAAGCAAAGAAGAUCAUAUUGGAUUCAUUCAAAUCUGGCAUGCAAUGCAGAUUUUGUCUUUAUAAAAUGCUCUAUCUAGAAGCUGUUGUAAAUAAAUUGAUGAGCAUGACUUUGUCUGAAACUGUAAAAUCUAAAUAGCACUUCAGGCUGAAGCUAACAUACACUUUUUUUGGGGGGGGGGCCGCACCUGUGGCAUGUGAAAAUUCCCAGGCUAGGGUAGAAAGUGAGCUGCAGCUACUGGCCUUCACCACAGCCACAGAAACACCAGAUCCAAGCCAUUGCUGCAACCUACACCACAGCUCACAGCAACACCAGGUCCUCAACCCACUGAGCAGGGCCAGGGAUCAAACCUGAGUCCUCAUGGAUACUAGUUGGGUUAGUUACCACUGAGUCAUAAUGGGAACUCUAAUAUAUACAUUAUUAAACAAAGAUGUUUAGGAGUUCUUGUCAUGGCUCAGUGGUUAAUGAAUCCGACUAGGAACCAUGAGGUUGUGGGUUCGAUCCCCAGCCUUACUCAGUGGGUUAAGGAUCUGGCGUUGAGGUGAGCUGUGGUGUGGGUUGCAGACGUGGCUUGGAUUCCUCAUUGCUGUGGCUCUGGCAUAGGCCCCCUAGCCUGGGAAUCUCCAUGUGCCGAUACAAAAUUGUUUGCAGAAUAUUAUUUAAAACAUAGUUAUAGAGAAAUCUCAUUGAUGGGUUAUUCUGAUGUUUCCAAAAUUUUUCUUUAUCAUUUGCUAUAUUAAACUAGUGCAAAAAUGCUUUAAUGCAUUGAACAUGUAAAAACCCUUUAGCAAGCUACAGAAAUAUUGAUUUAUGUUGACACAAAGCCAUUAAUUAAAACUCUAUUUUUGUAUGAACAAUCUACUAGCUUUAACUCUACCUAAUAGUAUUAAGAACCAGCUCACUAUUUAAUCCCAAAUAAAAUCUCAUGGGAAGUUUUGUCAACAGUUUUUCUGUAAUCAAGAUAUUCUAUACCUACUUCAGGAUAUUCAUGUGUGGACCAUGAAUUACACAAAUAAAAUUAGCACAGGUUAAGCAUAAUUCUGUUGAUUUAUUUAGAAGGUUAGAAAAAUGCAUUGUGCACUUGGCUUAUUUCAAAACCCUAAUUCAACACAUAUUUUUGAGAACAGAUAUUUUGAAUCCAUUUCCAGAUGUUGUAUUCCAGAGAUAAGAAGAUGUGGUCCCUACCAGGAGUUCAUGGGUUUGGAGAGAAAAGAGGUCUAAAUAUACAUUUAUAAUAGUGUAUAUUUGCAUCUGCAUGUAGUGUACAUUUUAGUUGAAAUACAGAAGAUAUAUAUAUAAUAUACAGAUAUACACAUUUUAUGACAUGUAUAUAUGUCUAUGUUUAUAUACAUUCUGUACAUAUUUCUUUUUUAGAUAAAGAAGAAAUUCAAUGAAAAUAUAUAUUUGUAUUUGCCAGGACUUACCAAGAAAUUUAAUACAUAGAUAGUGUACUUUUUAAAAGGGUGCCUGAAGUUUGUGAAAUAAAGUUGAAAUGUGAGUCUUCUCUGAUUUUGAUAAAUCUGCCUCUGCUCUCCUGGUUAGACCCAUGGUGGGGGAAGUGAAUUUAGUGAUGUUGCCUCAAAUCCCCAACAGUGACUACAAGAUUGGAUUUGAGCCUCAGUGCUAAUAUUUAUGAGUCCCGUGGCAGGAAACAUUUUAGUUCGCUUGGCUGAGGCUUACUUUUCUCAUCUGCAUGCUAAAGAUUUAUUUCAAGGAAUAAAUGAGAUAACUAAAUGAGAUUAAAUACAUUGACUGGCAAACCAUCUGACACAUUUUAGCAUAGGAAAGUAUUCAAUCCUAAACAUAUGUGUGUAUACACAUAUGUAUAAAAAAAGCAUGGUGCAGAAAGUUAAGUA